GAGAGUAUAGCUCAGUGGCAGAGCAUGUGCAUACUAUGCACAAGGCCCUGGGUUCAAACCCCAGUACUCCUA
RNAcentral lists this transfer RNA (72 nucleotides) under Camelus bactrianus (Bactrian camel). It matches the Rfam family "tRNA". Rfam says of the family: Transfer RNA (tRNA) molecules are approximately 80 nucleotides in length. Their secondary structure includes four short double-helical elements and three loops (D, anti-codon, and T loops). Further hydrogen bonds mediate the characteristic L-shaped molecular structure. tRNAs have two regions of fundamental functional importance: the anti-codon, which is responsible for specific mRNA codon recognition, and the 3' end, to which the tRNAs corresponding amino acid is attached (by aminoacyl-tRNA synthetases). tRNAs cope with the degeneracy of the genetic code in two manners: having more than one tRNA (with a specific anti-codon) for a particular amino acid; and 'wobble' base-pairing, i.e. permitting non-standard base-pairing at the 3rd anti-codon position. RNAcentral also lists the same sequence under 2 other names. Lineage: Eukaryota; Metazoa; Chordata; Mammalia; Artiodactyla; Camelidae. The record is from Rfam by way of RNAcentral.